Molecule: small nucleolar RNA, 92 nt
Organism: Tursiops truncatus (common bottlenose dolphin)
Lineage: Eukaryota; Metazoa; Chordata; Mammalia; Artiodactyla; Delphinidae
Gene: U3
Rfam family: Small nucleolar RNA U3
About the family: Small nucleolar RNAs (snoRNAs) are involved in the processing and modification of rRNA in the nucleolus.
Source: Ensembl
AAGACUAUAAUUUCAGGUAUCAUUUCUAUAGUUCAUUACUAGAGAAGUUUCUCUGAAUGUGUAGAGCACCUUAAGGUUGUGAAAAAAUGAAU